UACGUAGGGUGCGAGCGUUGCCCGGAUUUAUUGGGCGUAAAGAGCUCGUAGGCGGUCCGUCGCGUCGGUCGUGAAAACUUGGGGCUUAACCCUGAGCUUGCGGUCGAUACGGGCAUGACUGGAGUUCGGCAGGGGAGACUGGAAUUCCUGGUGUAGCGGUGAAAUGCGUAGAUAUCUGGAGGAAUACCGGUGGCGAAGGCGGCAUCCUGGACCGACAUUGACGCUGAUGAGCGAAAGCUAGGGGAGCAAACGGG
Molecule: ribosomal RNA, 254 nt
Filed under: uncultured bacterium
Lineage: Bacteria
Description: partial 16S ribosomal RNA
Rfam family: Bacterial small subunit ribosomal RNA
Source: RNAcentral